This 171-nucleotide ribosomal RNA is filed under the name Singerocybe phaeophthalma. Its description in RNAcentral is "5.8S ribosomal RNA". It matches the Rfam family "5.8S ribosomal RNA". From Rfam's summary of the family: 5.8S ribosomal RNA (5.8S rRNA) is a component of the large subunit of the eukaryotic ribosome. It is transcribed by RNA polymerase I as part of the 45S precursor that also contains 18S and 28S rRNA. Lineage: Eukaryota; Fungi; Basidiomycota; Agaricomycetes; Agaricales; Clitocybaceae. The record is from RNAcentral.
UUAAUACAACUUUCAACAACGGAUCUCUUGGCUCUCGCAUCGAUGAAGAACGCAGCGAAAUGCGAUAAGUAAUGUGAAUUGCAGAAUUCAGUGAAUCAUCGAAUCUUUGAACGCACCUUGCGCUCCUUGGUAUUCCGAGGAGCAUGCCUGUUUGAGUGUCAUUUAAUUCUC